RNAcentral lists this ribosomal RNA (1740 nucleotides) under Candidatus Magasanikiibacteriota bacterium. RNAcentral's name for it is "bacterial SSU rRNA". It matches the Rfam family "Bacterial small subunit ribosomal RNA". The record is from RNAcentral. Lineage: Bacteria; Candidatus Magasanikiibacteriota.
CUUUUUGAGAGUUUGAUCCUAGCUCAGGAUGAACGCUGGCGGCGUGUCUAAGGCAUGCAAGUCGAGCGACGUGCUGUGUAGCACAGAAAUUUUGAUGAUAGCCGUUACGUCUGUAGAGACGUAGCAAUGCUACGUCUCUACGCGAGAUGUUCGAAAUUUAUGCGCUACGCAGUUACGAGCGGCAAACGGGUGAGUAACACAUUGGUAACCUGCCUCCAAGUCAGAGACAGCUCGCCGAAAGGCGAAUUAAUAUCUGAUAGUCACGAGGGGACGAAAGUCAUUCUCGUGUAAAGGUUUUUCGCUUGGAGAGGGGCCUAUGGCCUAUCAGCUAGUUGGUGAGGUAAUGGCUCACCAAGGCUACGACGGGUAGCAGGCGUGAGAGCGCGACCUGCCUCAGUGGGACUGAGACACUGCCCACACUCCUACGGGAGGCUGCAGUCAAGAAUCUUCCUCAAUGGCCGAAAGGCUGAAGGAGCGACGCCGCGUGCAGGAUGAAGGUCUUCGGAUUGUAAACUGCUUUUAUAGGGGACGAAUUAGUGACGGUACCCUAAGAAUAAGAGGUUGCUAACUCUGUGCCAGCAGCAGCGGUAAUACAGAGACCUCAAGCGUUAUCCGGAUUUAUUGGGCGUAAAGCGUCCGCAGAUGGUUUGGCGGGUGAGGAGUUAAAACUUAUCGCUUAACGAUAAGACUGCUUCUCAAACUACCAAACUCGAGGGUGGGAGAGGUAAGCGGAAUUCUCGGUGUAGUCGUAAUAAGCGCUGAUAUCGAGAAGAACACCAAAUGCGAAGGCAGCUUACUGGAACACUCCUGACAUUCAGGGACGAAAGCGUGGGGAGCAAACAGGAUUAGAUACCCUGGUAGUCCACGCCCUAAACUAUGUGCACUAGGUAUUGGCAGUAUCGACCCUGUCAGUGCCGUUUAAAAAAGCUAACGCGUUAAGUGCACCGCCUGGGGAGUACGGCCGCAAGGCUAAAACUCAAAGGAAUAGACGGGGACCCGCACAAGCGGUGGAGCAUGUGGUUCAAUUCGACGAUGAACGAGGAACCUUACCUGGGUUUGACAUUUAGCUGCAAGGCCGCAGAAACGCGGCCCGCCUUCGAGGGUGCUAAACAGGUGCUGCAUGGCUGCCGUCAGCUCGUGCCGUGAGGUGUACCAUUAAGUUGGGAAACGAGCGCAACCCACGUUGCGUGUUACAUCGGACACACAAGACUGCCCAGCACUUUGAAUAUGAACAGGAACCCCGCCACAAGCGGGGUAAAGUUUCUGCAGUUCAUAAAAACGUCAAAUAUUGUCACAAUAAUGAUUAGAGUACCAAAAGUAUAAUAGUAUAUUGUGUACAAGUUUUUAUGGAUUGUAGAUAACUGUUCGUAAGCAGAGUGCUGGGAGGAAGGAGUGGACGACGUCAAGUCAGCAUGGCUCUUACAUCCAGGGCUACACACAUACUACAAUGGGGUGCAACAAUGGGUUGCCAAGUCGCGAGACGGAGCUAAUCCCACCAAACCACCCCCCAGUUCAGAUUGAAGGCUGCAACUCGCCUUCAUGAAGCCGGAAUCGCUAGUAAACGCAUAUCAGCCACGGUGCGUUGAAUACGUUCUCGGGUCUUGUACUCACCGCCCGUCAAACCAUGGAAGCUGGCAGUGCCCAAUACCCCGCCUCGGCGGGGCUAAGGCAAGGUUAGUGACUAAGGUUAAGUCGUAACAAGGCAUGGGUAGCGGAAGCUGCUCAUGGAUCACCUCCUUU